RNAcentral lists this ribosomal RNA (876 nucleotides) under uncultured euryarchaeote. Its description in RNAcentral is "bacterial SSU rRNA". It matches the Rfam family "Archaeal small subunit ribosomal RNA", at positions 21 to 903 of the family's 1478-position model. Lineage: Archaea; Methanobacteriati; Methanobacteriota. The record is from RNAcentral.
AAGCGACCGCUGUUGGAGUUCGAUUAAGCCAUGCGAGUAGAAUGAAAUUAGAUUCAUUGCAAACUGCUCAGUAACACGUGGAUAACCUGCCCUAUGCUCUGGGAUAACCUCGGGAAACUGAGAAUAAUACCGGAUAGAUCACAACGCCUGGAACGGUGUGUGGUUGAAAGGUUACGGCAUAGGAUGGGUCUGCGGCGUAUCAGGUUGUAGGGGGUGUAAUGGACCCCCUAGCCAUCGACGCGUACGGGUGUUGGGAGACAUAGCCCGGAGACGGAUUCUGAGACACGAAUCCGGACCCUACGGGGUGCAGCAGGCGCGAAAACUUCACACUGCAGGAAACUGUGAUGAGGGAACUCCAAGUGGAUGCACAUAGUGUAUCUCUUUUCUUUACUAUUAAUCGGUAUUGGAAUAAGGGCUGGGAAAGACCGGUGCCAGCCGCCGCGGUAAUACCGGCAGCUCGAGUGGUCGUCGCUUUUAUUGGGCCUAAAACGUCCGUAGCCGGUUUGGUAAAUCUGUGGGUAAAUCAACUAGCUUAACUAGUUGAAUUCUGCAGAGACUGCCAGACUAGGAACCGGGAGAGGUGUGGGGUACUCAAGGGGUAGGGGUAAAAUCCUGUCAUCCUUUGAGGACCACCAGUUGCGAAGGCGCCACACUAGAACGGAUUCGACGGUCAGGGACGAAGCCUAGGGGCACGAACCGGAUUAGAUACCCGGGUAGUCCUAGGUGUAAACGCUGUGAACUUGGUGUCGGGAGUCCGCAAUGGGCCCCCGGUGCCGGAGUGAAGAUGUUAAGUUCACUGCCUGGGGAGUACGGUCGCAAGGCUGAAACUUAAAGGAAUUGGCGGGGGAGCACUGCAACGCGAGGAGCGUGCGGUUU